CGGUGUUUAACUGGCGUGAUGUGGGACGUCCUACCGGUGGGCUUAGCCUCGCGAGGGGCGGCCCAACUAAUAUCCCGUCGCGGUGCUCUUUACUGAGUGUCGAGUCGGGCCGGUACGUUUACUUUGAACAAAUUAGAGUGCUUAAAGCAGGCUAUCCUCGCCUGAAUACUGCGUGCAUGGAAUAAUGGAAUAGGACCUCGGUUCUAUUUUGUUGGUUUUCGGAACCCCGAGGUAAUGAUUAAUAGGGACAGAUGGGGGCAUUCGUAUUGCGACGUUAGAGGUGAAAUUCUUGGAUCGUCGCAAGACGGACAGAAGCGAAAGCAUUUGCCAAAAAUGUUUUCAUUAAUCAAGAACGAAAGUUAGAGGUUCGAAGGCGAUCAGAUACCGCCCUAGUUCUAACCAUAAACGAUGCCAGCUAGCGAUCCGCCGAAGUUCCUCCGAUGACUCGGCGGGCAGCUUCCGGGAAACCAAAGCUUUUGGGUUCCGGGGGAAGUAUGGUUGCAAAGCUGAAACUUAAAGGAAUUGACGGAAGGGCACCACCAGGGGUGGAGCCUGCGGCUUAAUUUGACUCAACACGGGAAACCUCACCAGGCCCAGACACCGGAAGGAUUGACAGAUUGAUAGCUCUUUCUUGAUUCGGUGGGUGGUGGUGCAUGGCCGUUCUUAGUUGGUGGAGCGAUUUGUCUGGUUAAUUCCGAUAACGAACGAGACUCUAGCCUGCUAAAUAGGCGUACCUUAUGGUAUCGCGAAGGCCCCCGGCUUCGGCCGGUGGGUUUUUACUACCAACGUACAAACAAAUCUUCUUAGAGGGACAGGCGG
This 819-nucleotide ribosomal RNA is filed under the name uncultured eukaryote. RNAcentral describes it as "SSU rRNA". It matches the Rfam family "Eukaryotic small subunit ribosomal RNA", at positions 629 to 1426 of the family's 1831-position model. The record is from RNAcentral.